This 466-nucleotide ribosomal RNA is filed under the name uncultured bacterium. RNAcentral describes it as "bacterial SSU rRNA". It matches the Rfam family "Bacterial small subunit ribosomal RNA", at positions 33 to 507 of the family's 1533-position model. The record is from RNAcentral.
ACGACGCUGGCGGCGUGCCUAACACAUGCAAGUCGAACGGGGCGGAGGAAGCUUGCUUCCGAAGCUUAGUGGCGAACGGGUGAGUAACGCGUGAGGAACCUGCCUUUCAGUGGGGGACAACAGUUGGAAACGACUGCUAAUACCGCAUAAUGUAUCUGGACCGCAUGAUCCGGAUACCAAAGCUUUAUGUGCUGAAAGAUGGCCUCGCGUCUGAUUAGCUAGUUGGAGGGGUAACGGCCCACCAAGGCGACGAUCAGUAGCCGGUCUGAGAGGAUGAACGGCCACAUUGGGACUGAGAUACGGCCCAGACUCCUACGGGAGGCAGCAGUGGGGAAUAUUGCACAAUGGGCGAAAGCCUGAUGCAGCGAUGCCGCGUGAGGGAAGACGGUCUUCGGAUUGUAAACCGCUUUCAGCAGGGAAGAAGCAAGUGACGGUACCUGCAGAAGAAGUCACGGCUAACUACGUG